Molecule: ribosomal RNA, 424 nt
Filed under: uncultured Lachnospiraceae bacterium
Lineage: Bacteria; Bacillati; Bacillota; Clostridia; Lachnospirales; Lachnospiraceae
Description: bacterial SSU rRNA
Rfam family: Bacterial small subunit ribosomal RNA
Source: RNAcentral
UGGGGAAUAUUGCGCAAUGGGGGAAACCCUGACGCAGCAACGCCGCGUGAUUGAAGAAGGUCUUCGGAUUGUAAAAAUCUUUUAUCAAGGACGAAGAAGUGACGGUACUUGAUGAAUAAGCUCCGGCUAACUACGUGCCAGCAGCCGCGGUAAUACGUAUGGAGCAAGCGUUAUCCGGAUUUACUGGGUGUAAAGGGAGUGUAGGUGGCAUCACAAGUCAGAAGUGAAAGCCCGGGGCUCAACCCCGGGACUGCUUUUGAAACUGUGGAGCUAGAGUGCAGGAGGGGCAAGUGGAAUUCCUAGUGUAGCGGUGAAAUGCGUAGAUAUUAGGAGGAACACCAGUGGCGAAGGCGGCUUACUGGACGAUCACUGACGCUGAGGCUCGAAAGCGUGGGGAGCAAACAGGAUUAGAUACCCUGGUAGU